GGAAGUACAAGUCGUAACAAGGUUUCCGUAGGUGAACCUGCGGAAGGAUCAUUAACAAAUCAAAAACUACUUGUUGAAACGUUACCUGUUUGCUACCUGCCAUCCGCUAGCACAUUCGUGUGACAGCGGACUCGGGGGUAGCAACGGUUAUUACCAAUUACUCUUUAUUAACUAAACAAAACACAGUUGAAAAACAAAAACAACUUUUAACAAUGGAUCUCUUGGCUCCUACAACGA
RNAcentral lists this unclassified non-coding RNA (237 nucleotides) under fungal sp. RNAcentral's name for it is "partial internal transcribed spacer region". The stretch from base 1 to 54 matches the Rfam family "Eukaryotic small subunit ribosomal RNA", at positions 1778 to 1831 of the family's 1831-position model. Lineage: Eukaryota; Fungi. The record is from RNAcentral.